Molecule: unclassified non-coding RNA, 1387 nt
Filed under: Daphnia magna
Lineage: Eukaryota; Metazoa; Arthropoda; Branchiopoda; Diplostraca; Daphniidae
Description: uncharacterized LOC116936180, transcript variant X3
Source: RNAcentral
CAAUCAGAACAGAUUUAUUUGCAAACGCGUGGAACGCUCAAACCCCAGAUUUCGUUUCAUGGAAACCCCAACCCGGUGCACGAGCGGUUGAUGCUUUUACAUGCAACUGGAGAAAUGUAGAUGGUUAUCUCUUUCCCCCCUUUUCCCUUAUUCCUCGUUGUCUGGCGAAGAUAAGGAGAGAACGGUGCACAGUCACCAUGGUAUGCCCAGUAUGGCCAAGUCAACCAUGGUAUCCCCUUAUAUUAGAGUUAGUGUGCGACACACCAAGAAUCUUACCACCCGGCCACCAAUUACUGACCUCUCCAUCCGGAAAUCCGCAUCCGCUCGCGGGGGCCAACCUUAUGCUAGCCGCCUGGAGACUAUCAGGAUCGGACUCGAAAGUAAAGGAUUUUCAGGGAACACUGUCAAAGUACUGUUGGCAGGGAGUCGUACAUCCACGCUAUCUACCUACGAGUCAGCGUGGCGCAACUGGAAUAAUUGGUGUGCUGGGGAGCAUCAUGAUCCCAUGUCAAAUGAUUUGACAGUCAUGUUGGACUUCCUUACGACCUUGCAUAUGGAGGAUAGCGUGGCCAUUGGGCAGCAUCCGCUAGUAAUACGUUUUAUGAAAGGAUGUUAUAAUGAAAAUCCCCCUAGGCCUAAAUACUCGUCGAUCUGGGACGUGGAAGUCGUUUUCAGCUAUAUGCGUCAUGCGGGUAACAAUUUGUCACUAGAUCUCUCAUCGCUUACAAAAAAACUGGCUACAUUAUUGGCGGUCUCUACCCUACUGAGAGUGUCUGAAAUAGCAUCUUUAGACAAACGUACUUUGGAAUUUUCCUCUUCCGGAGCUAAGAUAGCUCUCUCCAAACCAAGAAAGGCUCAAACAAGCGGUCCUUUGCGACAUUAAUAGGACAGAGGCAAAUCAGCAGCAUUUACUCAUCAGUUUAAUACAACCGUUCGGGUCAGUUUCAGGCAAUACGGUGGCUAGAUGGAUAAAAGAGUAUUUGUCAGAUGCAGGAAUCGACACAUCAAUUUUUUCAGCUCAUUCAACAAGGGGCGCCGCAGCUUCAGAAGCAGCAAGAUCAGGAAUUUCGAUAGAUGCAAUUCUUCGAGCGGGAGAUUGGUCGAACGAAACAACCUUUGCAAAAUACUACAACCGAGAAAUCACGCUUUGAAAUCACCCUUAGGGAAGUACAGAGGAGGUUUUGGAAGACGUGGAGGUGGCCAGCAGUACAACGGGCAGUGAGUUCUUCCGCACCAUUGCCCACAAGCCCAUGCAAGCCAGGAAUUAUCAUUAUUUUCAAGUUUCAGUCGCGCUAUCAUCGCGAGAUCCUUUAGUUUUGUUUUGGUUCCCCCUUUUUUCCCUUGUUUGUUUGCAUAAGAGGGCUUGUACAGUUUGUGCUAUAUCCUU